AAGCCGAGGGGGCCGGGGUGGGGCCAAUGUAGGCCAGGGCCGCGCGGGCGGGGCCGGGGCGAUGGGGAAUCUGUUCGGGCGCAAGCGGCGGAGCCGGGUCACCGAGCAAGAUAAGGCCGUGCUGCAACUGAAACAGCAACGGGACAAACUAAAGCAAUAUCA
This is a non-coding RNA of Podarcis muralis (Common wall lizard), 162 nucleotides long. NCBI's taxonomy places the organism in Eukaryota, Metazoa, Chordata, Lepidosauria, Squamata, Lacertidae. The record is from RefSeq and is a predicted model, not a curated record.